RNAcentral lists this ribosomal RNA (450 nucleotides) under uncultured bacterium. RNAcentral's name for it is "bacterial SSU rRNA". It matches the Rfam family "Bacterial small subunit ribosomal RNA", at positions 354 to 796 of the family's 1533-position model. The record is from RNAcentral.
GUGGGGAAUAUUGGACAAUGGGCGAAAGCCUGAUCCAGCAAUGCCGUGUGUGUGAAGAAGGCCUUCGGGUUGUAAAGCACUUUUAGUGGGGAAGAAAAGUUCAUGGCUAAUAUCCAUGAAUGCUGACGUUACCCACAGAAAAAGCACUGGCUAACUCUGUGCCAGCAGCCGCGGUAAUACAGAGAGUGCGAGCGUUAAUCGGAAUUACUGGGCGUAAAGCGCACGUAGGUGGAUGCUUAAGUCGGAUGUGAAAUCCCCGAGCUUAACUUGGGAAUUGCAUUCGAUACUGGGCGUCUAGAAUAUAGUAGAGGGAAGUGGAAUUUCUGGUGUAGCGGUGAAAUGCGUAGAUAUCAGAAGGAACAUCAGUGGCGAAAGCGGCUUCCUGGACUAAUAUUGACACUUAGGUGCGAAAGCGUGGGGAGCAAACAGGAUUAGAAACCCGGGUAGUCC